Molecule: ribosomal RNA, 462 nt
Filed under: uncultured bacterium
Lineage: Bacteria
Description: SSU rRNA
Rfam family: Bacterial small subunit ribosomal RNA
Source: RNAcentral
AGCCUGAACGCUGGCGGCGUGGCUAAGACAUGCAAGUCGUACGGGCCCGCAAGGGCCAGUGGCGGACGGGUGAGUAAAGUAUCGCUAACGUACCCCAGGGUCUGGGAUAGCCGGCCGAAAGGCCGGGUAAUACCGGAUGACAUGGCGGCGGGGCCUCCCGCCGCUCUCAAAGGGCAACCACCGUGGGAGCGGGCGAUAUCGUAUCAGCUAGUUGGCGGGGUAACGGCCCACCAAGGCGACGACGCGUAGCUGGUCUGAGAGGACGACCAGCCACAUCGGGACUGAGACACUGCCCGGACUCCUACGGGGGGCUGCAGUAACGAAUCUUCCGCAAUGCACGCAAGUGUGACGGAGCGACGCCGCGUGGAGGACGAAGUCCUUCGGGAUGUAAACUCCUGUCAGGGGCUACCAAGUUCUGAGGGGCCCCAGAGGAAGGCACGGCUAACUCUGCGCCAGCGCCGC